This 404-nucleotide ribosomal RNA is filed under the name uncultured bacterium. RNAcentral's name for it is "bacterial SSU rRNA". It matches the Rfam family "Bacterial small subunit ribosomal RNA", at positions 355 to 775 of the family's 1533-position model. The record is from RNAcentral.
UAGGGAAUAUUGGUUAAUGUGCGAAAGCGCGAACCAGCAACGCCGCGUGUGCGAUGAAGGCCUUCGGGUCGUAAAGCACUUUUUGCAGGGACGAGGAAGGACGGUACCUGCAGAAUAAGUCUCGGCUAACUACGUGCCAGCAGCCGCGGUAAAACGUAGGAGACGAGCGUUAUCCGGAUUUACUGGGCGUAAAGCGCGUGCAGGCGGCAUGGCAAGUUGGAUGUGAAAGCUCCCGGCUUAACUGGGAGAGGUCGUUCAAUACUGCCAGGCUUGAGAGUGGUAGAGGGAAGCGGAAUUACGGGUGUAGUGGUGAAAUGCGUAGAUAUCCGGAGGAACACCAGUGGCGAAGGCGGCUUCCUGGCCCAUUUCUGACGCUCAGACGCGAAAGCUAGGGUAGCAAACGG